AGCGAACGCUGGCGGCAGGCCUAACACAUGCAAGUCGAACGAACUCUUCGGGGUUAGUGGCGGACGGGUGAGUAACACGUGGGAACGUGCCUUUAGGUUCGGAAUAACUCAGGGAAACUUGUGCUAAUACCGAAUGUGCCCUUCGGGGGAAAGAUUUAUCGCCUUUAGAGCGGCCCGCGUCUGAUUAGCUAGUUGGUGAGGUAAAGGCUCACCAAGGCGACGAUCAGUAGCUGGUCUGAGAGGAUGAUCAGCCACAUUGGGACUGAGACACGGCCCAAACUCCUACGGGAGGCAGCAGUGGGGAAUCUUGCGCAAUGGGCGAAAGCCUGACGCAGCCAUGCCGCGUGAAUGAUGAAGGUCUUAGGAUUGUAAAAUUCUUUCACCGGGGACGAUAAUGACGGUACCCGAAGAAGAAGCCCCGGCUAACUUCGUGCCAGCAGCCGCCGUAA
This 449-nucleotide ribosomal RNA is filed under the name uncultured bacterium. RNAcentral's name for it is "partial 16S ribosomal RNA". It matches the Rfam family "Bacterial small subunit ribosomal RNA", at positions 29 to 523 of the family's 1533-position model. The record is from RNAcentral.